CUGGAGGAUGUAUGGCAAUAGCUAGUUGCACUAAAAGUUUUAGUGUAAAAUCGACUAUGUUGAAUAAAAUUCUGGGUAGAAUUAUGAUAAUGACAUUAUCUGCUCAUAAGUCUUGACCAAAUUACGUGCCAGCAGUCGCGGUAAUACGUAGAAGACAAGUGUUAUUCAUCUUUAAUAGGUUUAAAGGGUACUUAGACGGUAAAUCAAGCCUCUAAAAGGGACUAAUUUGCUAGAGUUUUAUGUGAAAGAGUAUUAAAGUACUGCUGGUGUAGAGAUGAAAUUCUGUAAUACCUUGAAUGGCACAGGUUAAGGCGAAAGCAUCUUUUUAUGUAAAAACUGACGUUGAAGGACGAAGGCUUUGUGUCUCGAACAGGAUUAGAUACCCUAGUAGUCUAAGCAGACAAUGAUGAAUGUCAUAGAUUAGAUAUAAUUUGAUCUAUAAAUGAAAGUGUAAGCAUUCCACCUCAAGAGUAAUUUGGCAACAUUGGAACUGAAAUCAUUAGACCGUUUCUGAAACCAGUAGUGAAGUAUGUUGUUUAAUUUGAUGAUCCGCAAAAAACCUUACCACAAUUUGAAUAGAUAUAUAUUAUCAUACAAGCGUUGCACGGCUGUCUUCAGUUAAUGUCGUGAGACUUUGGUUAGUUCCAUAAAAUUAACGUAAACCCUUACUUUAUUUUUAGAUAAAGUAGUUCACCGCUAUAUUGGAUGUGAUAAUAGGGAUCAAGACAAGUCAUCAUGACC
RNAcentral lists this ribosomal RNA (741 nucleotides) under Fauriea chujaensis. RNAcentral describes it as "mitochondrial SSU rRNA". It matches the Rfam family "Bacterial small subunit ribosomal RNA", at positions 354 to 1200 of the family's 1533-position model. The record is from RNAcentral. Lineage: Eukaryota; Fungi; Ascomycota; Lecanoromycetes; Teloschistales; Teloschistaceae.